RNAcentral lists this ribosomal RNA (904 nucleotides) under Salmonella enterica. RNAcentral describes it as "partial 23S ribosomal RNA". It matches the Rfam family "Bacterial large subunit ribosomal RNA", at positions 1084 to 1889 of the family's 2925-position model. RNAcentral also lists the same sequence under 2 other names. The record is from RNAcentral. Lineage: Bacteria; Pseudomonadati; Pseudomonadota; Gammaproteobacteria; Enterobacterales; Enterobacteriaceae.
CCCAGACAGCCAGGAUGUUGGCUUAGAAGCAGCCAUCAUUUAAAGAAAGCGUAAUAGCUCACUGGUCGAGUCGGCCUGCGCGGAAGAUGUAACGGGGCUAAACCAUGCACCGAAGCUGCGGCAGCGAACGUAUCACUUAAAGCGAUUCAGCGGGUUACGAUUGACGGAGCGAAGCGACGUCAAAGCGUAUACAAAGUCGAGUCGGUUUAAGGAUACGUUCGUUGGGUAGGGGAGCGUUCUGUAAGCCCGUGAAGGUGGCCUGUGAGGGUUGCUGGAGGUAUCAGAAGUGCGAAUGCUGACAUAAGUAACGAUAAAGCGGGUGAAAAGCCCGCUCGCCGGAAGACCAAGGGUUCCUGUCCAACGUUAAUCGGGGCAGGGUGAGUCGACCCCUAAGGCGAGGCCGAAAGGCGUAGUCGAUGGGAAACGGGUUAAUAUUCCCGUACUUGGUGUUACUGCGAAGGGGGGACGGAGAAGGCUAUGUUGGCCGGGCGACGGUUGUCCCGGUUUAAGCGUGUAGGUGUGUGUUCCAGGUAAAUCCGGUUCACUUUAACACUGAGGCGUGACGACGAGGCACUACGGUGCUGAAGCAACAAAUGCCCUGCUUCCAGGAAAAGCCUCUAAGCAUCAGGUAACACGAAAUCGUACCCCAAACCGACACAGGUGGUCAGGUAGAGAAUACCAAGGCGCUUGAGAGAACUCGGGUGAAGGAACUAGGCAAAAUGGUGCCGUAACUUCGGGAGAAGGCACGCUGACACGUAGGUGAAGUGAUUUACUCAUGGAGCUGAAGUCAGUCGAAGAUACCAGCUGGCUGCAACUGUUUAUUAAAAACACAGCACUGUGCAAACACGAAAGUGGACGUAUACGGUGUGACGCCUGCCCGGUGCCGGAAGGUUAAUUGAUGGGG